CCCUUAGAUGUUCUGGGCCGCACGCGCGCUACACUGUUCGACGCAGCGAGUCUUAACCUUGACCGAAAGGUUUGGGUAAUCUUCAGCAAAGUCGAACGUGAUGGGGAUCGAUCAUUGCAAUUAUUGAUCGUGAACGAGGAAUUCCUAGUAAGUGCAAGUCGUCAGCUUGCGCUGAUUACGUCCCUGCCCUUUGUACACACCGCCCGUCGCUACUACCGAUUGAAUGGUUUAGUGAGAUCUCUGGAUUGACGCUGGCUAGGGGGCGACCCUUGGCCAGACUGUUGAGAAACUGCUCAAACUUGAUCAUUUAGAGGAAGUAAAAGUCGUAACA
Molecule: ribosomal RNA, 331 nt
Filed under: uncultured eukaryote
Lineage: Eukaryota
Description: partial 18S ribosomal RNA
Rfam family: Eukaryotic small subunit ribosomal RNA
Source: RNAcentral